AGCAGCCGCGGUAAUUCCAGCUCCAAUAGCGUAUAUUAAAGUUGUUGCAGUUAAAAAGCUCGUAGUUGAAUUUCGGGAUCAAAGGAUCGGUCAUGCCUUGGUAUGUACUGGUUUUAUUGGUUCUCACCUUCUAAAGAACCAUAAUGUCAUUCAUUUGAUGUUAUGGGGAAUUAGGACUGUUACCUUGAAAAAAUUAGAGUGUUUAAAGCAGGCUCACGCUUGAAUACAUUAGCAUGGAAUAAUGAAAUAGGACGUUUGAUUCUAUUUUGUUGGUUUCUAGGAUCGACGUAAUGAUUAAUAGGGAUAGUUGGGGGCAUUAGUAUUCAAUUGUCAGAGGUGAAAUUCUUGGAUUUAUUGAAGACUAACUACUGCGAAAGCAUUUGCCAAGGAUGUUUUCAUUAAUCAAGAACGAAAGUUAGGGGAUCGAAGACGAUCAGAUACCGUCGUAGUCUUAACCAUAAACUAUGCCGACUAGGGAUCGGAUGAUGUUAAUUUUUUUAAUGACUCAUUCGGCGCCUUA
This 520-nucleotide unclassified non-coding RNA is filed under the name uncultured Glomus. RNAcentral describes it as "SSU rRNA". It matches the Rfam family "Eukaryotic small subunit ribosomal RNA", at positions 569 to 1090 of the family's 1831-position model. The record is from RNAcentral. Lineage: Eukaryota; Fungi; Glomeromycota; Glomeromycetes; Glomerales; Glomeraceae.